Molecule: long non-coding RNA, 518 nt
Organism: Herpailurus yagouaroundi (jaguarundi)
Lineage: Eukaryota; Metazoa; Chordata; Mammalia; Carnivora; Felidae
Exons: 5
Source: RefSeq, a predicted model, not a curated record
UCAGCAGCCUCAGGAGACUGCCUGGCUGAGGGAGGGAGAGUCCUGCCUCUCCUUCUGGGUGGUGUGGGGGUGUUGUGUGUGUCUCGGCAAGGAAGCUGAAUAGAAAAACAACUUUCCUAAGCUCAAAGAAUGAAUGGCAAAGCCAGCAACCGUUGACUCGUCGAUGCCUGAGGCUGACUCUCAACCUGAGCCCUUCUCCACAAGACCCCAAGUGUCCAAGUAUCAGAGGCAGGCUCACUAACCUGUCGUGGGGCUCAAAUAGCCCCUGCUUCAUGGAUCAUGCUGUCUACCUUCCUGGAGAGCUUGCUUCGGAUAAAUGUCUCUCCACUUCCCAAACUAGGAAGGAUGGAAAGGUAUUUACACUUUCAGUAACCUGCAUAUGGAUCCCACUGCUAUUUAAUUAAGACUUAAACCUAUAAAGAUGCACAUUUAAUACUCAGAGUAAACCCUUGACUUGUUUCCUUUGAAGAUAAGCAGAGAGCGAGAGUGAGUGAGGGAGGGGCAAAGGGAGAGGAAGA